GCUGUUGCCUUCUUCUCACUCUCCCAGCCAAGCAUUGUAGCUCCGCCCCCUAGAUGAGAGAUGAGGAGCUGGCUCGUGCUGUGACCUGCACACUGAGACUACAGUGAGAGGCUGUGUUCUGUCUGGUGUGGGGAGAUGGCAGAGGCACUGCAAAGCAAUUUUCAUCAUAUAAUCCAUUUGGCUCCACCCCUUCUCUAAAGGGGCGAGAUUGCAAAAUGUGGUGGGAGUGGGGCCUAAUUAUACGAGGUGCCUGGCCACACUAAACAACCUGAAGUCCUGCUGCAGUUCUGCAUCUUAUUAGGCUCCAAGUCCCAAAGUGUAUCAUAUCGUGGAGACCACCUUGGGUGAUACAGCCAUUUCUGACAAUGCCUUGGUAUCUUGGUCCCCCCUAGUUUGCUCACGUGCCUGACCUUCCUAUCUUUUUCAUCCUGAGCAAUUCCAACAAUACCUCAGACUGAAAUGGGCAGAAUUCUCGGAUGACAAUCUGGAACACUUGGACAACCCUGUCAUGUUAUGGGAAACACUUAAGGCUGUUAUGAAGGGAUGUAUUAUGUCUUAUGUGGAAAACAGAAACAGAGAAAUUAAGACUUAACACGCAGAACUGCAACAGUCCAUACAUGACAAUUUGCAGGAGUGUAUGUCUAAUCCCAAUGACACCAACCAUCCAGCUUUAUUCAAUCGCGCAAGCUGUUCUUCUGGCCCAGGCACAGUUGAAACUGAACUACACUAAACAAAAACAUUUUUG
Pseudophryne corroboree (corroboree frog) is the source of this 745-nucleotide long non-coding RNA. RefSeq lists it as uncharacterized. The record is from RefSeq and is a predicted model, not a curated record. The transcript is spliced from 3 exons. NCBI's taxonomy places the organism in Eukaryota, Metazoa, Chordata, Amphibia, Anura, Myobatrachidae.